This 255-nucleotide unclassified non-coding RNA is filed under the name Hevea brasiliensis (rubber tree). Lineage: Eukaryota; Viridiplantae; Streptophyta; Magnoliopsida; Malpighiales; Euphorbiaceae. The record is from RNAcentral.
GCAAAAUCAUAAGCAUAGCCAUUCUUUAUUGUUCUAUUUCAAAAUCAAUAUUGAUCCUACAAAAAUCCCUUUCUGGUUUGUUCAAUGGUGGAGUUACUUUAGAGCUAUUCCAAACCUAUUAACCCCAGAAAUCUCAAAAAAUUUCAUCCUGUUCAAACAACAUUAUAAACCCUUAAAAAAAGAAAAACGAUUCUCACCCCUUUUCUUUUUCUGUACAAAAUUUUCCUACCUUAAGUCCUUAUUUGGUUUUUUGAA